RNA transcript from Drosophila obscura, 1835 nucleotides. It is a transcript of the gene named zinc finger protein 358, with no coding region annotated. Lineage: Eukaryota; Metazoa; Arthropoda; Insecta; Diptera; Drosophilidae. The record is from RefSeq and is a predicted model, not a curated record. The transcript is spliced from 5 exons.
UAACUGUUCAUUUUGCAAAAAUCCAAAACGGUGCCAGAGCAGCGUUUCUUGAGUUUCUUCCUCUUGCAAAAGAGCCAGUCAGAGACAUCAUUUCAGGCGGCUGAAAUGAAUAAAUGCCGAACUUGCUAUCGGGACUUGCUAGUUGAUGAGGACGCCAAAGAUCUCUACAAUCAAAAUAACAAUGCUCUGCUGUACCACAUAGAGGCAAUAACUGGCGUCUGGAUAAGCGGGCUGCAGGGUGUGCCUCAUCACAUGUGCCCGCAAUGCCAGGACACCUUGCAGAAAGCCAUUGAGUUUCGAGAGAAAUGCAUAAGAACUGAAUUCGGACUCACCAGCCACCAAGCCAGCAAAGGGCUCACGGAGCGUGAUUCCCCAAAAACCGAAGCAGAAACUGAGGAAAUCGAAACUGAAUUGGAGAAUGUAUUGUACGAAGAGUCGGCGCAACAAAACGAAGGCUUAUCAGACACAGAGUCACUUUAUAUGGAAUAUCCGCUCAUAGAAGCUAUUGAAACCGAACAGUGUGGACCAGCAGGCAAUGGUCCAUACCACAACAAACACAAAGUGGAUCCUUUCCACUCAGAACCGAAAUUGCAAACGCCAAGGGCAAAACGAUCAAAACUAACCAAAGAGGAAAAGAAUCUUAAGCGGCGCGAGCAGAUACGCUCCAAGCCACUAAGCUAUGUCUGCGAGCAGUGUGGGCAUGCCUUUCGUAUGUCUUCCCACCUACAGCUUCAUAUGCUUCGUCACAGCCGCGUCAAGAACUUUGAGUGCCCGGAAUGCUUGAAGAAAUUCUACACCUCGUACUUGCGGGACAGUCACCUACGCGUUCGUCACAACCGAGAGCGUCCGUUCCCAUGUAACCAUUGCAGCGAAACGUUUGCCUACUGCAAUAUGCGUCAGAGGCAUGAGAGGGAGAUUCACGGAGCACCUCCUCGCAUUGUCAUGAGUCGCAGCAGCACAAAUCCAAAAGUUCAACAGGACAAUUGUAAGCGUCACUUUUGCCAGCUCUGCACAAAAAGUUAUGCCUCGAAGUAUUCGCUCAGUUGGCAUAUGAACUCGCACACUGGGGUCAGGAACCUCAAGUGCAAGUCGUGCGACAUGACCUUUCCCGAUCCUGUUUCGGUGAGACGGCACGAGCGGUUGCAUGAGAAGAGGCCUCUGCAAUGUGAUGUCUGUUUGAAAGGAUUUUUCGUUCUCAGCAAGCUCAAUGAGCAUAAGCUUAUACACUCUGGCGAUCGGCCAUUUAGGUGUGAAAUUUGCGAUGUAUAUUUUCGAUACAAAUAUAAUCUCACAACACACAGGCACAGUAAAAUCCACGAGUCGAAUUUGUUAAAGAUUCAAGAAGAGAAAAAGGCUUAAUUAAAUAUAAAACGCAACUGAACAUGAAAUGAUCAAAUAAAUGAAGAAUUAUUUAAAUCUUGGAAAAAUUGCCGCGCACACUGCAAGCAUGCUUUUCAUUUAUCGACUAUCAAUAUUUGCUUGAAUUUCGUCCAUCACUAGAAAACAUCCAAAACAUAAUUUCUGUUGUUUUUAUACCCAAAAAUUGAUCUGCUGGCGGCUAUUUGGCAACGAUGAAUGCGAAUGCUGCGCCUGUGGGGAAACUGAAAUGCAGAACAUGCCUGGGAGAGUUCGACGAGGAGACAAUGAGUGGUUUGUUUGAAUUGAACGAGAUGGACGUGGAUGCAGAGGACGCCGGGAGUGAAGAUCUCAGUGAACAAUUUCAGUUCUGUUGCGGGAUUAAGGUUCGCAACUCUCCUCGGCUGCCUUCCAAGGUGUGCAGCAAGUGCCGCGAAUUCGUUCAGAUGUGGUUAAGCUUUCGCCAAAUGGUCCUCAAU